ACGCACGCUCGCGGCGUGCUUAACACAUGCCAGUCGAACGGAAAGGCCCUGCUUUUGUGGGGUGCUCGAGUGGCGAACGGGUGAGUAACACGUGAGUAACCUGCCCUUGACUUUGGGAUAACUUCAGGAAACUGGGGCUAAUACCGGAUAGGAGCUCCUGCUGCAUGGUGGGGGUUGGAAAGUUUCGGCGGUUGGGGAUGGACUCGCGGCUUAUCAGCUUGUUGGUGGGGUAGUGGCUUACCAAGGCUUUGACGGGUAGCCGGCCUGAGAGGGUGACCGGCCACAUUGGGACUGAGAUACGGCCCAGACUCCUACGGGAGGCAGCAGUGGGGAAUAUUGCACAAUGGGCGGAAGCCUGAUGCAGCAACGCCGCGUGCGGGAUGACGGCCUUCGGGUUGUAAACCGCUUUCGCCUGUGACGAAGCGUGAGUGACGGUAAUGGGUAAAGAAGCACCGGCUAACUACGUG
Molecule: ribosomal RNA, 467 nt
Filed under: uncultured bacterium
Lineage: Bacteria
Description: partial 16S ribosomal RNA
Rfam family: Bacterial small subunit ribosomal RNA
Source: RNAcentral